UUUGCAAAUAUUGGUCUUGUUUUUACAUCUAUGCUAGCUACAAAUAAAAUUUGAGAUCUCUUACAAAACACGAACAAUUUUAAUAGUUGAUAAAUUAGCUAGUUUAACAGAAAAUAGAAAUGGGAUCUAAAAAUCCAAAUCAGAGCACACGUUAUAUCAGAGCCAAAAAAAGUUUAUGCUCAAAUCCUCAGCAAAAUGCAAACCCUCACGGACAAGGAUUGUCUGUCCUUCAUUUUUCCACGCCCUUCCACGCCCUCCUGUGUGUGAUCACGGUUCAGCCACGUCAACAUUUUAUAUUACUAUUUAUUUUUUGUCUUAUUAUCUUUAUAAAAAAAUAAUAUAAAAUGUUAACGUGACUUAACCGUGACCACACAAAACAGGAGGGCAUAGAAGGGCAUGGAACGGAAUGGAAAAAAGGAGGGCAGACAAUCCUUGUCCAACCCUCACAUAAUGUAAUUGCUUCAAGACCACGCCAACCAAUUAAUAAAGGAUUUCCAAAUUGGGAGUCAUUGAAUACAAUUAAAGAAAUCUGUAAUUAAUUCAAAUAGCGACGAUAGUCAAAAACAGCUAAAUACACAAAUAUGAGUCAUCAAAUUAAAAAGGUAUAAUGUAAUCUUAAGUGGUAGAAUAGUCAAAGAACUUAAUCAACAAGAGACAAUCUAUGGAUAAUCUUUUGGUGUCAUAGGUUGCUAAUCUUAAGUGGUAGAAUAGUCAAAGAACUUAAUCAACAAGAGACAAUCUAUGGAUAAUCUUUUGGUGUCAUAGGUUGCUAAUCUUAAGUGGUAGAAUAGUCAAAGAACUUAAUCAACAAGAAACAAUCUAUGGAUAAUCUUUUAGUGUCAUAGGUUGCUAAUUGUUUUUUAUUCCGCUCAAAUUAUAAUACGUAAAUUUGUUUUAAAACACGUAUAAUAAUAUAUUUUGUGGCUUGUGUGUCUAGACCAAGUGUAACAAAUUUUCAAGCUUAAGACGUGUAUAACACAAAUUGGAUGAAGUAAAACACGUGUGGGCAAACUUUUGAAGUGGGAUAUUUCUUCACAUCCUCACACACAUGGUCCUUCACAUGUGGUGAAUUUUGAUGUUGACAACGAAAAUUGGGCAACAUGAGAUACGUGUUGUGUUGAGCUUAAAGGUGAGCCACCUGCAUUGAUACCUGUAUUGAUGACUUCACAAGUUUGAACUUGGAGGGGUUAUGAAGAGGUGGUCAGGGUACGUGGCUGUACUUUGUCUAAGGCGAUAAACCAGAGCUUAAUUAAUUAAGCUUAUAUUAAAAGUCAGAAAAAAUGGAGAAUUUGAAGCAGCUCUCAUCCCUUAACUUCAAAUAUAUAUGAUAAUUAUAAUGAUUUUUAUUUGAUCUAUGUAAUAGCUGAUGACAUCUUUCUUACUAAACUAACCAAUAGGUCUAAAAAUAAAUAAUAUAAGGACGAACAUUUUAAUAAAGUCAAAUCGAAUUAAUGGUCUACAUGAUAAUAGAGUAUUCGGAAGAGAUUAUGUGAUAAAAAAAUUAGGAUCUAAAUCCCGAUGAUAAAGGCUGUUAUCAAAUUUAACCUAAAGUAAGAUUUCUGUCAUAUCUCAUUUAGAUGCAAUUGUACCUCCAUGGCUCCACCUUCUCCUCCCAUCUCUCUCCAACCAUUUUUCCGUUGGUUUCCUUACCAUUAGGCAUUAGUUUCAAGAUUCACAAAAUGAAUACAUAUCUAAUGAUCAUAGAUACCUGUUGACCCUAAAAACUACCAAGCCUACGUGGCGCGCAGGCCGAAUAAUCUAUAAGCUAACUACAUCCUUCGGUGAAUGCGGGGCGUGCCAACUCGUCUGCCGAGCUCGGCCGAGGAGUAAAUUUGUUGAUGUUGGGUGCGCGGCUGACUUCUGCGUCUUGCGAUUGCGGCCGAGAAAGGAAUAUGUCUCGGCCUCUUGGGCUCUCGAACCUGAAGACAAGGUUACUAUUCUUACGAAGUUCAAUAUCAAAUUCGGCUUUCAAUAUGCCGAAUGCAAUAACUUGUAACAGCUUACUUUGCCGAGAAGGCUGAUGAGAUGACCUCGACCAAUAAGGAUUCAGAAAUCCUUCUCGACCGAGACUUGGAUAGGUAAUCAACCGUCCUUGCCGCAGUGCUGUUGAUGCCAACGGAAGAUGCUGCAAGAUCGGCUGAUUCUACGGUGAUAGAGCUAUCUAUGCCGACUUAAGAUAUCACCGGUUGCUUUCACAGUGCUGUUGAUGCCAACGGAAGAUGUGUCAGCGAAAAGAGAAAAUAAAAAUCUCAGUUGUUGAGAGAGUUUGCGCAGGGCAGUUGUGUGUUGAAUUGAAGGUCCCUUCAAUGAUGCACUGAGUCUUGUAUUUAUAAGGUUGGAUAUCUGCUAGCUUUGGCCUGACAGAUUUGUAUUUCAAUUGCACCCAAAGACUUCUUGAUGGAAUAUGCGAAUCUGAACAACAAUAGGGACUCUGCAUGCUAACCCUAUUUUAUUCCCACUUUGACUUAUAUUUAUCCCAUUAGAAGCUUUCUUAUCUCAUCAGAGCCUAGCCUUAUCCCAUCCAAAGCCAUCACUUCAAAGUCAAAGAUUCCUAAUGCAACUAUAAACCUUCUUCUUCCACCACGAAUGUCCAUAUGCAUGCAACUUCAUUAAUC
Molecule: long non-coding RNA, 2615 nt
Filed under: Malus domestica (apple)
Lineage: Eukaryota; Viridiplantae; Streptophyta; Magnoliopsida; Rosales; Rosaceae
Description: long non-coding RNA (MDOM_LNC010927)
Source: RNAcentral